AUUGAACGCUGGCGGCUUGCCUUACACAUGCAAGUCGAACGGUAACAGGUUAAGCUGACGAGUGGCGAACGGGUGAGUAAUAUAUCGGAACGUGCCCAGUCGUGGGGGAUAACGUAGCGAAAGCUACGCUAAUACCGCAUACGAUCUACGGAUGAAAGCGGGGGAUCGCAAGACCUCGCGCGAUUGGAGCGGCCGAUAUCAGAUUAGGUUGUUGGUGAGGUAAAAGCUCACCAAGCCUGCGAUCUGUAGCUGGUCUGAGAGGACGACCAGCCACACUGGAACUGAGACACGGUCCAGACUCCUACGGGAGGCAGCAGUGGGGAAUUUUGGACAAUGGACGCAAGUCUGAUCCAGCAAUGCCGCGUGCAGGACGAAGGCCUUCGGGUUGUAAACUGCUUUUGUACGGAACGAAACGGUGAGCUCUAAUACAGUUUGCUAAUGACGGUACCGUAAGAAUAAGCACCGGCUAACUUCGUGCCAGCAGCCGCGGUAA
Molecule: ribosomal RNA, 493 nt
Filed under: uncultured bacterium
Lineage: Bacteria
Description: partial 16S ribosomal RNA
Rfam family: Bacterial small subunit ribosomal RNA
Source: RNAcentral